AUUGAACGCUGGCGGCAGGCCUAACACAUGCAAGUCGAGCGGAUGAAGGAAGCUUGCUCCUGGAUUCAGCGGCGGACGGGUGAGUAAUGCCUAGGAAUCUGCCUGGUAGUGGGGGAUAACGUCCGGAAACGGGCGCUAAUACCGCAUACGUCCUGAGGGAGAAAGUGGGGGAUCUUCGGACCUCACGCUAUCAGAUGAGCCUAGGUCGGAUUAGCUAGUUGGUGGGGUAAAGGCCUACCAAGGCGACGAUCCGUAACUGGUCUGAGAGGAUGAUCAGUCACACUGGAACUGAGACACGGUCCAGACUCCUACGGGAGGCAGCAGUGGGGAAUAUUGGACAAUGGGCGAAAGCCUGAUCUAGCCAUGCCGCGUGUGUGAAGAAGGUCUUCGGAUUGUAAAGCACUUUAAGUUGGGAGGAAGGGCAGUAAGUUAAUACCUUGCUGUUUUGACGUUACCAACAGAAUAAGCACCGGCUAACUUCGUG
Molecule: ribosomal RNA, 484 nt
Filed under: uncultured bacterium
Lineage: Bacteria
Description: partial 16S ribosomal RNA
Rfam family: Bacterial small subunit ribosomal RNA
Source: RNAcentral